This 496-nucleotide ribosomal RNA is filed under the name uncultured bacterium. RNAcentral describes it as "partial 16S ribosomal RNA". It matches the Rfam family "Bacterial small subunit ribosomal RNA", at positions 28 to 506 of the family's 1533-position model. The record is from RNAcentral.
GAUGAACGCUGGCGGCGUGCCUAAUACAUGCAAGUCGAGCGAACAGACGAGGAGCUUGCUCCUCUGACGUUAGCGGCGGACGGGUGAGUAACACGUGGAUAACCUACCUAUAAGACUGGGAUAACUUCGGGAAACCGGAGCUAAUACCGGAUAUUAUAUUGAACCGCAUGGUUCAAUAGUGAAAGACGGUUUUGCUGUCACUUAUAGAUGGAUCCGCGCCGCAUUAGCUAGUUGGUAAGGUAACGGCUUACCAAGGCAACGAUGCGUAGCCGACCUGAGAGGGUGAUCGGCCACACUGGAACUGAGACACGGUCCAGACUCCUACGGGAGGCAGCAGUAGGGAAUCUUCCGCAAUGGGCGAAAGCUUGACGGAGCAACGCCGCGUGAGUGAUGAAGGUCUUCGGAUCGUAAAACUCUGUUAUUAGGGAAGAACAAAUGUGUAAGUAACUAUGCACGUCUUGACGGUACCUAAUCAGAAAGCCACGGCUAACUACGU